GCUGGGUCUCUCUCCAAGCUGCUGCAGAGCUUGUAAUUGAUGCUGAACUCCUUGAUGUAAUAAACUUUUAUGAUCAAGAACAGUGUCAAGCGGAUUUCACACAUCAUCGCAGCAUUAUUGUUCGGUCACCACACCGGCCUUCAGUCCAGCUCUGCCACUUGAGGCUCCAGGCCUCCUGCCCCUCCUUUGUGUUUCCCCUUUUCUAUCUCACCUCUACCAAGUAGGCUGUGUGUCCCUGUGGAAUGAAGACCCGCCUACUUCCUGGUUUCUGGGGCGCUGACUUCAGUCCCACCCAUUGGUUCCCUCUGUUCCCGCUCAACCAAUGGCUGGUCACCACAUUGAUUACCUCCUGCUCAUAAGGAGAGUCCACCUGUUGCUCGAGGCAGUCUUGUGUGCCGCUGGUAUUGACUGUGUACUUUGCUUGUUAGCUGUACUUUGUGUGUAGUGGAGAAAUUCACUUAGUAUUUUUGUUUAAUAUUGAGUUAGUUUAGUGGGUGCUGUGCUCUUUGUGUUCUUUUGUAGCAAGAAUUAACCCUGUUUAAAUAUAUAGAGAGGUACAGGCCUCCUUUUGAGGACCUCUUUAUUUUAACUUGGUUUGUUAUUUUCGCAGCACCCUCGUCCACCCUCCUUUUGUUUAUCGUUACCUGUCUGCAUCUCCGUGUUACCAAUAAAAGUUACCUUUUUAAGAUCUAUACCAGUUUUGCCUAUAUGUUUAUGGCCCCCACUCCCCUAGACCAACAGGGGGUCGUAACAAUCGGUCACCUGUCUGGCCUCAGGCGAGCCCCCGUUCUCUCGGUCGUCCACCGGGACGGCUUCCUGAACGCUGUUGCCCCCCUGAUCUGCCCGGCCGGUUUCCCCUCCUGAAAUGCGUUGUCUCCAUUACCCUCCUGGCCUGCUCGGACGACCUCCUGUUCGGCCUCCCGAACUGUUCUGCUCCUCUGCUCUGCCCUGCAUGUUAGGCCAAGCGCCUUACCUGCCCUAUUUCCUGGGCCUGAUCUGCCUGUUGGGUGGUUCCUCCAGACUGUUUUGCUCCCUAACCCUGCGCUACCUGUUUAGUUUUCCUCCUGGACCUUAUGACUCCCCCUCCUCCGCCACCCGCCUGAGAAUUCCCUGUCUACUCACUGGCCUGUCUGGAUUUUGAUUUCGGUUUUCCUGGCCAGACAAAGAAAGCAUGUGCAGCAGAAACGAUCGACCAAUACCUUCCCAGUUGAAAAAGAGACAUUACCCAGGUACCGUUUGGUUUGAAGCGUUCUGGAGUCUUUCAUGAGACAUGUGUUCAGACAGUCCUCUGAGACGGUGCAGGGCAGCGAUGUUGGAGCUCCUCCCACUCAUCAUCUCUCACCUCUGAAACAAAAUGUUAUACUUCAUGAUCCACAGCAUUAAUUGUAGAUGUUCCUUGUGCUUAUUGGCUGAUUUAUUUAUUAAAAUGUUUGUUGUAUUUCUGACAAA
Long non-coding RNA from Micropterus dolomieu (smallmouth bass), 1449 nucleotides. RefSeq lists it as uncharacterized. The record is from RefSeq and is a predicted model, not a curated record. The transcript has 2 exons. Lineage: Eukaryota; Metazoa; Chordata; Actinopteri; Centrarchiformes; Centrarchidae.